CAAAAUGAGUGAGAACUCACUACCGUCUCCUCAUCGAAACUGAGGUCU
This 48-nucleotide small nucleolar RNA is filed under the name Cervus hanglu yarkandensis (Yarkand deer). Its description in RNAcentral is "Small nucleolar RNA SNORD116 (ENSCHYG00000019580.1)". It matches the Rfam family "Small nucleolar RNA SNORD116", at positions 45 to 92 of the family's 92-position model. From Rfam's summary of the family: HBII-85 is a member of the C/D class of snoRNAs, which contain the C (UGAUGA) and D (CUGA) box motifs. HBII-85 is encoded in a tandemly repeated array with another C/D snoRNA, HBII-52, in the Prader-Willi syndrome (PWS) region of chromosome 15. Lineage: Eukaryota; Metazoa; Chordata; Mammalia; Artiodactyla; Cervidae. The record is from Rfam by way of RNAcentral.